UCUCCGUAGGUGAACCUGCGGAGGGAUCAUUACAGAGUUCAUGCCCUACCGGGUAGAUCUCCCACCCUAUGUUAUUAUUACUUUGUUGCUUUGGCGGGCCGUUAGGCUCCGGCCCGACUACCGGCCCCGGCUGGUAAGCGCUCGCCAGAGGACCCAAAACCCUGAAUAUUAGUGUCGUCUGAGUACUAUAUAAUAGUUAAAACUUUCAACAACGGAUCCCUUGGUUCUG
RNAcentral lists this unclassified non-coding RNA (229 nucleotides) under plant metagenome. Its description in RNAcentral is "partial contains small subunit ribosomal RNA, internal transcribed spacer 1, and 5.8S ribosomal RNA". The record is from RNAcentral.